UACGGAGGGUGCGAGCGUUGUCCGGAAUCACUGGGCGUAAAGGGCGCGUAGGCGGCCCGGCAAGUCUGUGGUGAAAGCUCAGGGCUCAACUCUGAGUCGGCCACGGAUACUGCGGGGCUCGAGCACGGUAGAGGCAGGUGGAAUUCCGGGUGUAGCGGUGGAAUGCGUAGAGACCCGGAGGAACACCAGUGGCGAAGGCGGCUUCCUGGUCUGCGACUGACGCUGUGGCGCGAAAGCUAGGGGAGCAAACGGG
RNAcentral lists this ribosomal RNA (253 nucleotides) under uncultured bacterium. Its description in RNAcentral is "partial 16S ribosomal RNA". It matches the Rfam family "Bacterial small subunit ribosomal RNA", at positions 524 to 776 of the family's 1533-position model. The record is from RNAcentral.